CACCCUUGGCAAUGGGCAAAGAAUCACCUUGUUGGUGGUAUGGCUCUUAUAUCAAUCAGGGGACAGAGCAGAUGACAGUCCUUUGUUCAUUCUACCUUGAUACCUGGCUUGGUGGCCAAAAUUGUCUUAUGCCUAGGAUGCAAAA
This is a non-coding RNA of Mus musculus (house mouse), 145 nucleotides long. The record is from Rfam. Lineage: Eukaryota; Metazoa; Chordata; Mammalia; Rodentia; Muridae.